This 254-nucleotide ribosomal RNA is filed under the name uncultured bacterium. Its description in RNAcentral is "partial 16S ribosomal RNA". It matches the Rfam family "Bacterial small subunit ribosomal RNA", at positions 524 to 776 of the family's 1533-position model. The record is from RNAcentral.
UACGGAGGGUGCGAGCGUUGUCCGGAAUCAUUGGGCGUAAAGGGCGCGUAGGUGGCGGGACAAGCGUGCGGUGAAAGCUCGGGGCUCAACCCCGAGUCGGCCGUGCGAACUGUUUUGCUUGAGCACUGUAGAGGCAGGCGGAAUUCCGGGUGUAGCGGUGGAAUGCGUAGAGAUCCGGAAGAACACCGGUGGCGAAGGCGGCCUGCUGGGCAGUAGCUGACACUGAGGCGCGACAGCGUGGGGGAGCAAACAGG